Molecule: ribosomal RNA, 404 nt
Filed under: Fusobacteriota bacterium
Lineage: Bacteria; Fusobacteriati; Fusobacteriota
Description: Fusobacteria bacterium partial 16S ribosomal RNA
Rfam family: Bacterial small subunit ribosomal RNA
Source: RNAcentral
UGGGGAAUAUUGCACAAUGGAGGGAACUCUGAUGCAGCGACGCCGCGUGAGUGAUGAAGGAAUUCGUUUCGUAAAACUCUGUUCUAUGGGAAGAAAAGGACUGUACCAUAGGAGAAAGCUCCGGCUAAAUACGUGCCAGCAGCCGCGGUAAUACGUAUGGAGCGAGCGUUGUCCGGAAUUAUUGGGCGUAAAGGGUGCGCAGGCGGCUUUACAAGUUGGAUGUGAAAUAUUGUGGCUCAACCACAAACGUGCAUCCAAAACUGCAAAGCUUGAGUUGAGGAGAGGUAAGUGGAAUUCCUGGGGGAGCGGUGGAAUGCGUAGAUAUCAGGAGGAAUACCGGUGGCGAAGGCGACUUACUGGACUUAAACUGACGCUCAGGCACGAAAGCGUGGGGAGCAAACAGG